AUACGUAGGUGGCAAGCGUUGUCCGGAUUUAUUGGGCGUAAAGCGAGCGCAGGUCGGUUUUUAAGUCUGAUGUGAAAGCCUUCGGCUUAACCGGAGAAGUGCAUCGGAAACUGGGAGACUUGAGUGCAGAAGAGGGCAGUGGAACUCCAUGUGUAGCGGUGGAAUGCGUAGAUAUAUGGAAGAACACCAGUGGCGAAGGCGGCUGUCUGGUCUGUAACUGACGCUGAGGCUCGAAAGUAUGGGUAGC
Molecule: ribosomal RNA, 247 nt
Filed under: uncultured bacterium
Lineage: Bacteria
Description: partial 16S ribosomal RNA
Rfam family: Bacterial small subunit ribosomal RNA
Source: RNAcentral